AGUGAACGCUGGCGGUAGGCCUAACACAUGCAAGUCGAACGGCAGCACAGAAGAGCUUGCUCUUUGGGUGGCGAGUGGCGGACGGGUGAGUAAUGUCUGGGAAACUGCCCGAUGGAGGGGGAUAACUACUGGAAACGGUAGCUAAUACCGCAUAACGUCGCAAGACCAAAGUGGGGGACCUUCGGGCCUCACACCAUCGGAUGUGCCCAGAUGGGAUUAGCUAGUAGGUGGGGUAAUGGCUCACCUAGGCGACGAUCCCUAGCUGGUCUGAGAGGAUGACCAGCCACACCGGAACUGAGACACGGUCCAGACUCCUACGGGAGGCAGCAGUGGGGAAUAUUGCACAAUGGGCGCAAGCCUGAUGCAGCCAUGCCGCGUGUAUGAAGAAGGCCUUCGGGUUGUAAAGUACUUUCAGCGGGGAGGAAGGCGGUGAGGUUAAUAACCUUGCCGAUUGACGUUACCCGCAGAAGAAGCACCGGCUAACUCCGUGCCAGCAGCCGCCGUAA
This 506-nucleotide ribosomal RNA is filed under the name uncultured bacterium. RNAcentral's name for it is "partial 16S ribosomal RNA". It matches the Rfam family "Bacterial small subunit ribosomal RNA", at positions 29 to 523 of the family's 1533-position model. The record is from RNAcentral.